This 63-nucleotide transfer RNA is filed under the name Maurya qinlingensis. Its description in RNAcentral is "tRNA-Asp". RNAcentral also lists the same sequence under 1 other name. Lineage: Eukaryota; Metazoa; Arthropoda; Insecta; Hemiptera; Membracidae. The record is from RNAcentral.
AAGAAAUUAGUUUAAACUAAAACAUUAAUUUGUCAAAUUAAAAAUAAUUAAUAUUAUUUCUUU